RNAcentral lists this ribosomal RNA (254 nucleotides) under uncultured bacterium. RNAcentral's name for it is "partial 16S ribosomal RNA". It matches the Rfam family "Bacterial small subunit ribosomal RNA", at positions 524 to 776 of the family's 1533-position model. The record is from RNAcentral.
UACGGAGGAGGCAAGCGUUAUCCGGAAUUAUUGGGCGUAAAGCGUCCGCAGGUGGCUAUUCAAGUCUGCGGUCAAAGACUGGGGCUUAACCCUGGAAAGGCCGUGGAAACUGAAGAGCUAGAGUGCAGUAGGGGUAGAGGGAAUUCCCGGUGUAGCGGUGAAAUGCGUAGAUAUCUGGAGGAACACCGGUGGCGAAGGCGGCAUCCUGGACCAACACUGACGCUGAGUGAGCGAAAGCCAGGGGAGCAAACGGG